UCUAAGACACAAAACCGGUUUCCAAUUUGAUUUUGCACUGUGUUUUUAUGAAAGUGAGAUCAUUUUGAAAGCUGGAUUUUGCCUUUCGUCAA
RNAcentral lists this microRNA precursor (92 nucleotides) under Megaselia scalaris. RNAcentral describes it as "microRNA bantam". The record is from RNAcentral. Lineage: Eukaryota; Metazoa; Arthropoda; Insecta; Diptera; Phoridae.